Molecule: long non-coding RNA, 2634 nt
Filed under: Mytilus galloprovincialis (Mediterranean mussel)
Lineage: Eukaryota; Metazoa; Mollusca; Bivalvia; Mytilida; Mytilidae
Source: RNAcentral
GUGAUCCGUGUUAUGGAGUUUCCUGGUGUAAUAAUGGCCAUUGUGUUGUACAGGGAUCCUCAUAUAACUGUCAUUGUCAUUCUUGCUGGGGUAACUAUAAUUAUCAAUCGUUAUGCACCUGUAAGUAUUUUAUGCAACGCUAGACUAUAGUAGAGGCGCUAUCAUGUUUUCUCGUCUGUGUGAUUGUCCGUAUAAUCCGCCUGUUAUAUUCAAAAUUUGGUUGAGGUAAAUGGGGGUCUAAAUUAAAAAAAAAAAUAAGGUGGAUCGUCGGUAUAUAUACUAGUCAACAAAAGAAACGAUAAAAGUCUUUUAUUUCGAAUUCAAGAUGAAGUUUUCAUUAUAUAUGACAAAUAUUAAAGGUGGUAAUACCGAAUGAUCACGGAACUAUUAAUCCGUUUAACAAAAAAAAAUUAAUUGCUUCCAUGACGUCAUUCAAUGGGUGAAACUUUUUGGGACAACAUUUACAAAAAACGACAAUUUUAUAAACAGAAGUCCCAACUCAUGAGGCCAACUUCUCAUUUGAAGAGAAAGACAAGCUUGCCAUUAAUUUGUUUAUGUAUGAUUCUUCAUUUAUUUGUAAAGCGAAAUUCAGACCCAUAAGAAAUCGGUAAAAUGUUUACAUUAUGAUUUCAUUUGCCAUAUACACUAUAUAUAUAUAUAUAAUAUAUGUAAAGUGAAAUUCAAAUACACGGCAUCAAACUUAAAACUUAUAUGAAAGUUUCCAAAUUUACAGUGUGGUGUUCAUAUCUAAAGCAUUGAUUUGAGACGUAAACACAUUUGUUUUAAUAUUUUUUUGGGAAUUUAAAAAAAAUAUUUAAAAAAAAUAUUUCAACCCAUAAUAUACAACAUGAACAUAACUUGAAUAGCAUAUUGCAUAUGUUUAAACAAAUUUUAGUGUUUUUUUUAGUACUUUGAAAAUUGUGUCGAUUUUAGACCAAUUUUCCGCAAAAAUUAUUUGAAUCCUGUGAUAAUUUUCGACAGGUUUUGAAAUUUCAUAAUCAUAUGCACAUACAUGGCAAAUGAAUAGUUUUUAAAAUAGUUCAUCUCAUUUUUUUUUAUAUUAAAUUCUUGUUGAUCAAUUUGAUGGCAAAGUCAUGAAUCGUUUCUUUUGUUGACUAGUAUAGUAUAGUUGCUUAACAUUUUCUUAAACUUUGCCAAACAUAAGAUUUUACUAUGCUUUUUUGGAAAAAUUGAUUCUAAAAGUACAAAUAUUUGGUAUUUUGAAUAAUGCAAAUCAACUUUAUUUUUCUUUAUUCAAAUAAACAUUCUAACACAUCAAUUGCAAAUCUGUCUCAAAAUUUGCAGAUUUAGGCAAAGAACUAGACCGAUUAUGUACUGCUAUUGUACAAUCCAGGAUGGCGGUAUACACUGAAUCUACCUUUAAGUUAAUAAUUUGUCAAAAUGUAGUUUAUAUUAUGCUUUUUUCAAAACAAUGAUAAAAAGUAUGAGUAACCAUGCUUUUUCUCACGCUACAGAUUGUUCAAAAUUGUCAGAUUUUGUAAAGAUUAUCCAAGGAAAUCCUACUUUUUUGUGAUGAAUAGAAAUCUACAACAUAGAAUUUUAAGAACUAAAGACUAUGAGAAGAUAGCUCUAAUUAUAUGCUUUUAUAUAAAAAAAAAAAAUAGAGAAAAGGACUGGACUCAUUUUCUGGCUACAUUAUAAAAAAAUGUUAAUUAACAACGCAUUCUAUUUUAAACGUUACUUUAUCUGAGUUAUCUCCCCUUAUAUGGCAAGGUUGAAGAAAUGAAUCAAACAAAAAUGUAAAAUACAGCCGUAAAAUAUAAUAAAACACAUGAUUUUUAAAAAAAGCACGAAAAGUCUUACACAUGAAUUACAUGCUACUCUCGAAAUUUUCACUUGACCUCGACUUCAUUUCGCGGAUCAGUGAACAAGGAUACUUAGUUUUCAUGAACAUGUCCAUAUCUCAGAUACUAUAAGCAAUAUGUUGACUAAAUAUGGUGUACGGAAUGAUUGUAAGGUGUACAUGUCCAACUGGCAUGUGUCAUUUCGGGGCCUUUUAGAGCUGACUAUGCGGUAUGAGUUUUGCUCAUUGUUGAAGGUCGUACGGUGACAUAUAGUUCUUUGUUUAUGUCAUUUGGUCUCUGGUGAAGCAUUGUCCCAUUGGCAAAUAUAUCAUACCAUCUUAUUUUUAUAUACAAGUUGUAUACAGUAUUCUUGCCAUCAUUAUAUUUUACAGACUAUAUGUGUGGAUAGGAUGUUGGCAUACUACGUAACAUUUCUCGAGAUCAAUGGACUAAUCUGAAUUUGGUUUGGAUUAUUAUAGCGUUUCUGUUUUGGACAUUGCAAUUACUUUAGACGUCCCUAACGACGCACUGAGAAUGCGCAACCUAAUAUACGAGGAUAGAACAUAAUUUCAAAAUGGCCCAUGCCAGAUAAAGCAGACGACGAAAAUGAAAAUGAAUAACUGAUGUUGUUUUUGAAAUUGUUAUUAUCUUUAUUUACUUUAUAACAUUGUUAUUAAAAUGUCAUACAUGUAGCUAUGUAUAUUGUAAUACUUUGUAAUAAUAACAGCAUAAUUAUACCCGCAGUAUCUGUAUUCUACAUAAGUUCCACGGAUUAUAGAAACAUCCUGAAGUUACAUUCAGUGUUCGAACACAGACACAUGAGAAAGGC